UUGGCAGACCACCUUAUCGCUGUGAGACCAACUUGUUUCGGUAUUAUUCUAUUUUGAAGGAUUUUGAAGCAAGUUUGAAUCAGGGAGGAAAGUCCGGACACCGUAGUGCGGCAUAGCGGGUAACGCCCGUCCGCUGAAAGGCGAGGACCAGUGCAACAGAAAGCAAGUACAGUUCGGCUGUAGUGAAAUCAGGUAAACUCUAUGCGGUGAAACGCCAUGUAAACCAACGUUUGAGGGCUGCACGCCCAAGUUGGAGGGUAGGCGGUUAGAGUUUUUGGGCAACCAAAAAACUAGAUAAAUGAUAAGGCUCGACAGAAUCCGGCUUAUGGUCUGUUAGAAUA
RNAcentral lists this RNase P RNA (341 nucleotides) under Allomuricauda sp. AC10. RNAcentral describes it as "Muricauda sp. AC10 RNase P RNA component class A". It matches the Rfam family "Bacterial RNase P class A". Rfam says of the family: Ribonuclease P (RNase P) is a ubiquitous endoribonuclease, found in archaea, bacteria and eukarya as well as chloroplasts and mitochondria. Its best characterised activity is the generation of mature 5'-ends of tRNAs by cleaving the 5'-leader elements of precursor-tRNAs. The record is from RNAcentral. Lineage: Bacteria; Pseudomonadati; Bacteroidota; Flavobacteriia; Flavobacteriales; Flavobacteriaceae.